UUAUGGCUCAGGAUGAACGCUAGCUACAGGCUUAACACAUGCAAGUCGAGGGGAAACGACAUCGAAAGCUUGCUUUUGAUGGGCGUCGACCGGCGCACGGGUGAGUAACGCGUAUCCAACCUGCCCAUCACUUGGGGAUAACCUUGCGAAAGUAAGACUAAUACCCAAUGAUAUCUCUAGAAGACAUCUGAAGGAGAUUAAAGAUUUAUCGGUGAUGGAUGGGGAUGCGUCUGAUUAGCUUGUUGGCGGGGUAACGGCCCACCAAGGCGACGAUCAGUAGGGGUUCUGAGAGGAAGGUCCCCCACAUUGGAACUGAGACACGGUCCAAACUCCUACGGGAGGCAGCAGUGAGGAAUAUUGGUCAAUGGACGAGAGCCUGAACCAGCCAAGUAGCGUGCAGGAAGACGGCCCUAUGGGUUGUAAACUGCUUUUAUAAGGGAAUAAAGUGAGUCUCGUGAGACUUUUUGCAUGUACCUUAUGAAUAAGGACCGGCUAAUUCCGUGCCAGCAGCCGCGGUAAUACGGAAGGUCCGGGCGUUAUCCGGAUUUAUUGGGUUUAAAGGGAGCGUAGGCCGGAGAUUAAGCGUGUUGUGAAAUGUAGAUGCUCAACAUCUGAACUGCAGCGCGAACUGGUUUCCUUGAGUACGCACAAAGUGGGCGGAAUUCGUGGUGUAGCGGUGAAAUGCUUAGAUAUCACGAAGAACUCCGAUUGCGAAGGCAGCUCACUGGAGCGCAACUGACGCUGAAGCUCGAAAGUGCGGGUAUCGAACAGGAUUAGAUACCCUGGUAGUCCGCACGGUAAACGAUGGAUGCCCGCUGUUGGUCUGAAUAGGUCAGCGGCCAAGCGAAAGCAUUUAGCAUCCCACCUGGGGAGUACGCCGGCAACGGUGCAACUCAAAGGAAUUGACGGA
RNAcentral lists this ribosomal RNA (910 nucleotides) under uncultured Bacteroidota bacterium. RNAcentral describes it as "bacterial SSU rRNA". It matches the Rfam family "Bacterial small subunit ribosomal RNA", at positions 17 to 917 of the family's 1533-position model. Lineage: Bacteria; Pseudomonadati; Bacteroidota. The record is from RNAcentral.